Molecule: non-coding RNA, 401 nt
Organism: Pelobates cultripes (western spadefoot toad)
Lineage: Eukaryota; Metazoa; Chordata; Amphibia; Anura; Pelobatidae
Source: the annotation of a GenBank genome assembly
CUUGGGAAGCCCACCUGGAGCACAUCUCAGUAGUGCUCAACCGCAUUCAGAAUGCAGGGCUAACCUUGAAGCCUGAGAAAUGUCACGUGGGCAUGGCUGAAGUCCAAUAUUUAGGUCACCGGGUAGGGUCAGGGAAACAGAGACCAGAGCCCGCUAAGAUUGAGGCCAUUACCCAGUGGCCUCAACCCAGGACAAAAACCCAGGUCAUGGCGUUCUUAGGCACCGCAGGUUAUUACCGGAAAUUUGUAGCAGAAUACAGUGCCCUUGCCAAACCCUUGACAGACCUCACCAAAAAGUCCCUACCCCGACAAGUAAUCUGGUCCCCUGAGUGUGAGGAGGCGUUCCAGAAACUCAAGGCUGCGUUAAGUGCAUCUCCUGUGUUAGCGGCACCGGACCAUACU